Molecule: ribosomal RNA, 612 nt
Filed under: uncultured bacterium
Lineage: Bacteria
Description: bacterial SSU rRNA
Rfam family: Bacterial small subunit ribosomal RNA (bases 1-521)
Source: RNAcentral
CCUACGGGAGGCAGCAGUGGGGAAUAUUGGGCAAUGGAGGAAACUCUGACCCAGCGACGCCGCGUGCGGGAUGAAGGCCUUCGGGUUGUAAACCGCUUUCAGUAGGGAAGAAGCGAAAGUGACGGUACCUACAGAAGAAGCACCGGCUAACUAUGUGCCAGCAGCCGCGGUAAUACAUAGGGUGCAAGCGUUGUCCGGAAUUAUUGGGCGUAAAGAGCUCGUAGGUGGUUCGUCACGUCGGAUGUGAAAAUCUGGGGCUCAACCCCAGACCUGCAUUCGAUACGGGCGAUCUAGAGUGUGGUAGGGGAGACUGGAAUUCCUGGUGUAGCGGUGGAAUGCGCAGAUAUCAGGAGGAACACCAAUGGCGAAGGCAGGUCUCUGGGCCAUUACUGACACUGAGGAGCGAAAGCGUGGGGAGCGAACAGGAUUAGAUACCCUGGUAGUCCACGCCGUAAACGGUGGGCACUAGUUGUGGGAACCUUCCACGGUUUCUGCGACGCAGCUACGCAUAGUAGCCCGCCGUCGGGAGGUACGAGUCGCGAGAAGUUAAACUAACGUAAAGUAAGUAGUUAGACGUGUUAGAGAGCGACGACGACGACGACGGAGGAGGAG